Molecule: ribosomal RNA, 252 nt
Filed under: uncultured bacterium
Lineage: Bacteria
Description: partial 16S ribosomal RNA
Rfam family: Bacterial small subunit ribosomal RNA
Source: RNAcentral
ACGGAGGGGGCAAGCGUUGUUCGGAAUUACUGGGCGUAAAGGGCGCGUAGGCGGCGUGACAGGUCAGGCGUGAAAGCCCCGGGCUCAACCUGGGAACUGCGCUUGAUACGGUCAUGCUAGAGGUUGGGAGAGGAGAGUGGAAUUCCCAGUGUAGAGGUGAAAUUCGUAGAUAUUGGGAAGAACACCAGUGGCGAAGGCGGCUCUCUGGCCCAUACCUGACGCUGAGGCGCGAAAGCGUGGGGAGCAAACAGG